AUUUUUCCAGGAAAAAUGAUUAAUACAAAAUGCAUAAUUAGAAAUUUCCAUGGUAAUCUCAACUUCGGUUAACCCAAAUAAAUAUCUUUCUCAAAUGUGAGCAAACCCCAACAAUUGAGGUGUUUUUCCCUUACAAGCGCCUACUUCAAUUUUUUCAUUGGGGUAUUGAAGUAUAUGAAACUCAAAAAAUUUUAACUCUCAUUGUAUUCAUGCAUCGAUACAAAGGCACACAAGUGCGGGAUGCUUCAUGCACUGGGUCACUCUUUAUUGCAUUCAUGCAUUUAUGUUUCCUAUAAGCGGCUAUAGAAUAAAGUACUUCAGCCACAGACAGAGAAACGAAAUUAAAGAGCAGAUGAACAAUGGAUAUUAGUAAAAUUGCUAAACAUGUGAUUUUCUUCUGUGCUGUAUAUGAGGCAAUUAAGUGUCUAAUUAUUCAGUAAUCAGUAGUAGCUAGAAACCAUGAGUUGUAACUUGUAAGCAGUGUAGUCAUGUAACCAGAGAAAUUACACUUGGUGGUGCUGUCAGACUUUGACCAUAGUUAGUGUCCGUGGUUAUUGUUUGAACUCCUCAAAUUCCAUACCUGCAAUCGCUCUAAAAUCAUAGAUCAUGCAUUUUAAAGGAUUCAUUUGAAAAUUGCCUCAAAUGAUGGGUAUUUUGCAAUUCUUUCAAACUUUAGACAGUAAGAAGUGUAUUUUAUGGUAUACCUCUAGUGCCUACUGGCAAAGGUGUGGAUAUUGUACUUGGAACGCCUAUUUUCCGUUGGC
This 764-nucleotide unclassified non-coding RNA is filed under the name Hevea brasiliensis (rubber tree). Lineage: Eukaryota; Viridiplantae; Streptophyta; Magnoliopsida; Malpighiales; Euphorbiaceae. The record is from RNAcentral.